RNAcentral lists this ribosomal RNA (469 nucleotides) under uncultured bacterium. RNAcentral describes it as "partial 16S ribosomal RNA". It matches the Rfam family "Bacterial small subunit ribosomal RNA", at positions 28 to 508 of the family's 1533-position model. The record is from RNAcentral.
GACGAACGCUGGCGGCGUGCUUAACACAUGCAAGUCGAACGGAAAGGCCCUGCUUUUGUGGGGUGCUCGAGUGGCGAACGGGUGAGUAACACGUGAGUAACCUGCCCUUGACUUUGGGAUAACUUCAGGAAACUGGGGCUAAUACCGGAUAGGAGCUCCUGCUGCAUGGUGGGGGUUGGAAAGUUUCGGCGGUUGGGGAUGGACUCGCGGCUUAUCAGCUUGUUGGUGGGGUAGUGGCUUACCAAGGCUUUGACGGGUAGCCGGCCUGAGAGGGUGACCGGCCACAUUGGGACUGAGGUACGGCCCAGACUCCUACGGGAGGCAGCAGGGGGGAAUAUUGCACGAUGGGCGGAAGCCUGAUGCAGCAACGCCGCGUGCGGGAUGACGGCCUUCGGGUUGUAAACCGCUUUCGCCUGUGACGAAGCGUGAGUGACGGUAAUGGGUAAAGAAGCACCGGCUAACUACGUGC